RNAcentral lists this ribosomal RNA (1402 nucleotides) under Pediococcus ethanolidurans. RNAcentral describes it as "bacterial LSU rRNA". It matches the Rfam family "Bacterial large subunit ribosomal RNA", at positions 1518 to 2925 of the family's 2925-position model. Lineage: Bacteria; Bacillati; Bacillota; Bacilli; Lactobacillales; Lactobacillaceae. The record is from RNAcentral.
AGCAAGUCUGAUUGAGAGUUAAAUGCUUUCAGUCUUAAGGACAAGCUGUGAUGGGGAGUGAAAUUUAAAGUAACGAAGUUCCUGAUGUCACACUGCCGAGAAAAGCUUCUAGUUAGAGUUUAACUACCCGUACCGCAAACCGACACAGGUAGUCGAGGAGAGUAUCCUCAGGUGAGCGAGAGAACUCUCGUUAAGGAACUCGGCAAAAUGACCCCGUAACUUCGGAAGAAGGGGUGCUGAUCGCAAGAUCAGCCGCAGUGAAUAGGCCCAGGCGACUGUUUAUCAAAAACACAGGUUUCUGCAAAAUCGUAAGAUGACGUAUAGGGGCUGACGCCUGCCCGGUGCUGGAAGGUUAAGUGAAUGAGUUAGCUUCGGCGAAGCUUUGAAAUGAAGCCCCAGUAAACGGCGGCCGUAACUAUAACGGUCCUAAGGUAGCGAAAUUCCUUGUCGGGUAAGUUCCGACCCGCACGAAAGGCGUAACGAUCUGGGCACUGUCUCAACGAGAGACUCGGUGAAAUUAUAAUACCCGUGAAGAUGCGGGUUACCCGCGACAGGACGGAAAGACCCCAUGGAGCUUUACUGUAGCUUGAUAUUGAGUGUUUGUACAGCUUGUACAGGAUAGGUAGGAGCCAUAGAAACCGGAACGCUAGUUUCGGUGGAGGCGUUGGUGGGAUACUACCCUCGCUGUAUGAACCCUCUAACUCGCGCCACUAAGCGUGGCGGAAGACAGUGUCAGGUGGGCAGUUUGACUGGGGCGGUCGCCUCCUAAAGAGUAACGGAGGCGCCCAAAGGUUCUCUCAGAAUGGUUGGAAAUCAUUCGCUGAGUGUAAAGGCAGAAGAGAGCUUGACUGCGAGACAGACAGGUCGAGCAGGGACGAAAGUCGGGCUUAGUGAUCCGGUGGUACCGUAUGGAAGGGCCAUCGCUCAACGGAUAAAAGCUACCCUGGGGAUAACAGGCUUAUCUCCCCCAAGAGUUCACAUCGACGGGGAGGUUUGGCACCUCGAUGUCGGCUCAUCGCAUCCUGGGGCUGUAGUCGGUCCCAAGGGUUGGGCUGUUCGCCCAUUAAAGCGGUACGCGAGCUGGGUUCAGAACGUCGUGAGACAGUUCGGUCCCUAUCCGUCGCGGGCGUAGGAAAUUUGCGAGGAUCUGUCCUUAGUACGAGAGGACCGGGAUGGACAUACCGCUGGUGUACCAGUUGUUCCGCCAGGAGCAUCGCUGGGUAGCUAUGUAUGGAUGAGAUAAACGCUGAAAGCAUCUAAGUGUGAAACUCGCCUCAAGAUGAGAUUUCCCAUUCCAUUUAUGGAAGUAAGACCCCUGAGAGAUGAUCAGGUAGAUAGGUUGGGAGUGGAAGUGUAGUGAUACAUGGAGCGGACCAAUACUAAUCGGUCGAGGACUUAACCA